Molecule: ribosomal RNA, 429 nt
Filed under: Chloroflexota bacterium
Lineage: Bacteria; Bacillati; Chloroflexota
Description: Chloroflexi bacterium partial 16S ribosomal RNA
Rfam family: Bacterial small subunit ribosomal RNA
Source: RNAcentral
UGGGGAAUAUUGCACAAUUGGCGCAAGCCUGAUGCAGCCAUGCCGCGUGUAUGAAGAAGGCCUUCGGGUUGUAAAGUACUUUCAGUCGGGAGGAAGGUGGUAAGGUUAAUAACCUUAUCAAUUGACGUUAUCGACAGAAGAAGCACCGGCUAACUCCGUGCCAGCAGCCGCGGUAAUACGGAGGGUGCAAGCGUUAAUCGGAAUUACUGGGCGUAAAGCGCACGCAGGCGGUUGAUUGAGUCAGAUGUGAAAUCCCCGGGCUUAACCCGGGAAUUGCAUCUGAUACUGGUCAGCUAGAGUCUUGUAGAGGGGAGUAGAAUUCCAUGUGUAGCGGUGAAAUGCGUAGAGAUGUGGAGGAAUACCGGUGGCGAAGGCGGCCCCCUGGACAAAGACUGACGCUCAGGUGCGAAAGCGUGGGGAGCAAACAGG